RNAcentral lists this ribosomal RNA (61 nucleotides) under Escherichia coli. Its description in RNAcentral is "partial 23S ribosomal RNA". Lineage: Bacteria; Pseudomonadati; Pseudomonadota; Gammaproteobacteria; Enterobacterales; Enterobacteriaceae. The record is from RNAcentral.
GGCGGUGAAUUCCGUCCAAGGCUAAAUACGGGCGAGAGACCGAUAGCGAACAAGUACCGCG